CCUACGGGAGGCUGCAGUGGGGAAUAUUGGACAAUGGGGGCAACCCUGAUCCAGCCAUGCCGCGUGUGUGAAGAAGGCCCUCGGGUUGUAAAGCACUUUCAGUGAGGAAGAACGCCUGGUGGUUAAUACCCAUCAGGAAAGACAUCACUCACAGAAGAAGCACCGGCUAACUCCGUGCCAGCAGCCGCGGUAAUACGGAGGGUGCGAGCGUUAAUCGGAAUUACUGGGCGUAAAGCGCGCGUAGGUGGCUUGAUAAGCCGGUUGUGAAAGCCCCGGGCUCAACCUGGGAACGGCAUCCGGAACUGUCAAGCUAGGGUGCAGGAGAGGAAGGUAGAAUUCCCGGUGUAGCGGUGAAAUGCGUAGAGAUCGGGAGGAAUACCAGUGGCGAAGGCGGCCUUCUGGACUGACACUGACACUGAGGUGCGAAAGCGUGGGUAGCAAACAGGAUUAGAUACCCGGGUAGUC
RNAcentral lists this ribosomal RNA (465 nucleotides) under Vreelandella stevensii. Its description in RNAcentral is "partial 16S ribosomal RNA". It matches the Rfam family "Bacterial small subunit ribosomal RNA", at positions 338 to 795 of the family's 1533-position model. The record is from RNAcentral. Lineage: Bacteria; Pseudomonadati; Pseudomonadota; Gammaproteobacteria; Oceanospirillales; Halomonadaceae.